UCCUACGGGAGGCAGCAGUGAGGAAUAUUGGUCAAUGGACGCAAGUCUGAACCAGCCAUGCCGCGUGCAGGAAGAAUGCCCUAUGGGUUGUAAACUGCUUUUAUUUAGGAAGAAACCCCCGAACGUGUUCGGGGCUGACGGUACUAAACGAAUAAGGACCGGCUAACUCCGUGCCAGCAGCCGCGGUAAUACGGAGGGGGUUAGCGUUGUUCGGAAUUACUGGGCGUAAAGCGCGCGUAGGCGGAUUAGAAAGUUGGGGGUGAAAUCCCGGGGCUCAACCCCGGAACUGCCUCCAAAACUGCUAGUCUAGAGUUCGAGAGAGGUGAGUGGAAUUCCGAGUGUAGAGGUGAAAUUCGUAGAUAUUCGGAGGAACACCAGUGGCGAAGGCGGCUCACUGGCUCGAUACUGACGCUGAGGUGCGAAAGUGUGGGGAGCAAACAGGAUUAGAUACCCUGGUAGUCCACACCGUAAACGAUGAAUGCCAGUCGUCGGAGCGCUUGCUCUUCGGUGACACACCUAACGGAUUAAGCAUUCCGCCUGGGGAGUACGGUCGCAAGAUUAAAACUCA
RNAcentral lists this ribosomal RNA (568 nucleotides) under uncultured bacterium. RNAcentral describes it as "bacterial SSU rRNA". It matches the Rfam family "Bacterial small subunit ribosomal RNA", at positions 337 to 903 of the family's 1533-position model. The record is from RNAcentral.